RNAcentral lists this ribosomal RNA (374 nucleotides) under uncultured bacterium. RNAcentral describes it as "bacterial SSU rRNA". It matches the Rfam family "Bacterial small subunit ribosomal RNA", at positions 29 to 419 of the family's 1533-position model. The record is from RNAcentral.
AACGAACGCUGGCGGCAUGCCUAACACAUGCAAGUCGAACGGGAUCCUGGCUUCGGUCAGGUGAGAGUGGCGGACGGGUGAGUAACGCGUGGGAACCUGCCCAGUGGUGGGGGAUAACUGCGGGAAACUGCAGCUAAUACCGCAUGAGCCCGAGAGGGGAAAGAUUUAUCGCCAUUGGAGGGGCCCGCGUUCGAUUAGGUAGUUGGUGAGGUAACGGCUCACCAAGCCGACGAUCGAUAGCUGGUCUGAGAGGAUGAUCAGCCACACUGGGACUGAGAUACGGCCCAGACUCCUACGGGAGGCAGCAGUGGGGAAUAUUGGACAAUGGGGGGCAACCCUGAUCCAGCAACGCCGCGUGAGUGAUGAAGGCCUUC